RNAcentral lists this ribosomal RNA (750 nucleotides) under uncultured cyanobacterium. RNAcentral describes it as "bacterial SSU rRNA". It matches the Rfam family "Bacterial small subunit ribosomal RNA", at positions 99 to 881 of the family's 1533-position model. Lineage: Bacteria; Bacillati; Cyanobacteriota. The record is from RNAcentral.
CGGACGGGUGAGUAACACGUGAGAAUCUGGCUUCAGGAUGGGGACAACAGCGGGAAACUGCUGCUAAUACCCAAUGUGCCGAGAGGUGAAAGAUUUAUCGCCUGAAGAUGAGCUCGCGGCUGAUUAGCUAGUUGGUAGGGUAAGAGCCUACCAAGGCCAUGAUCAGUAGCUGGACUGAGAGGAUGACCAGUCACACUGGGACUGAGACACGGCCCAGACUCCUACGGGAGGCAGCAGUGGGGAAUUUUCCGCAAUGGGGGCAACCCUGACGGAGCAAUACCGCGUGGGGGAGGAAGGCCCUUGGGUUGUAAACCCCUUUUGUCAGGGAAGAAUACAAUGACGGUACCUGAGGAAUCAGCAUCGGCUAACUCCGUGCCAGCAGCCGCGGUAAUACGGAGGAUGCAAGCGUUAUCCGGAAUGAUUGGGCGUAAAGCGUCCGCAGGUGGCAGUGUAAGUCUGCUGUCAAAGGUCAGGGCUUAACCCUGAACAGGCAGUGGAAACUACACAGCUAGAGUGCGGUGGGGGCAGAGGGAAUUCCCAGUGUAGCGGUGAAAUGCGUAGAGAUUGGGAAGAACACCGGUGGCGAAAGCGCUCUGCUAGGCCGCAACUGACACUCAUGGACGAAAGCUAGGGGAGCGAAUGGGAUUAGAUACCCCAGUAGUCCUAGCCGUAAACGAUGGAUACUAGGCGUAGCUCGUAUCGACCCGAGCUGUGCCGUAGCUAACGCGUUAAGUAUCCCGCCUGGGGAGU